GACGAACCGUCCAAACGUUAUUCGGAAUCACUGGGCUUACAGAGUUCGUAGGCGGUCUGGAAAGUUGGGUGUGAAAUCCCUCGGCUCAACCGAGGAACUGCGCUUGAAACUACCAGACUCGAGGGAGAUAGAGGAAAGCGGAACUGAUGGUGGAGCGGUGAAAUGCGUUGAUAUCAUCAGGAACACCGGUGGCGAAGGCGGCUUUCUGGGUCUUACCUGACGCUGAGGCACGAAAGCCAGGGGAGCGAACGGG
Molecule: ribosomal RNA, 253 nt
Filed under: uncultured bacterium
Lineage: Bacteria
Description: partial 16S ribosomal RNA
Rfam family: Bacterial small subunit ribosomal RNA
Source: RNAcentral